Frieseomelitta varia is the source of this 591-nucleotide long non-coding RNA. RefSeq lists it as uncharacterized. Lineage: Eukaryota; Metazoa; Arthropoda; Insecta; Hymenoptera; Apidae. The record is from RefSeq and is a predicted model, not a curated record. The transcript is spliced from 3 exons.
UCUCAUGGACAUAGUUUUGUCAUGAUUAUGAACCUUGUUAUCAUUAUGUGUAUUACAAUUUUGGUUAUUAAUAUAUACCAUACAAUACAAUGCGUAUACGACGAAAGUCAGAAAUUCUUUUAUAUUCCAUAUACCGUGGAAUGGUAUAAUUUAUCGUUAUCGAUACAGAAAUUGCUACUUUCGAUUAUACAAGGAAACAAUCACUCAGCAGUAUUAAAUUUCUAUGGUAUAUGGAUACCUACGUUCAAAAAUUUGAGCGCGGUAAGAAAUAUUUCCGCGAGAAUCCAAAAUACAUAAAAUGAGAAAGAAAUACUUUUCCAGCAAUUCAAAUUAUCUUGGUCCUACCUUAUGCUAUUGUAUUCCACUCAAAACUAGUGACAACGAUCGUAGCACAUUAGCGGAUCAUACGAGAACAUGAUAUACCAGUUGACAUACGUUAUUAUUGCCACUAUAAGAUGAUAAUUUAUACUAACAUUGCACGCAUUUGGAAUAUGAUAUAAUGCACCGGAAUAAAAGUAUACUUGGAGUUCAUUCAUUACGUGAAAAGCAUGACUAAAGAUAAGUGAUGGUUUCUUUAGGUGUCAGAAAGGA